This 490-nucleotide ribosomal RNA is filed under the name uncultured bacterium. RNAcentral's name for it is "partial 16S ribosomal RNA". It matches the Rfam family "Bacterial small subunit ribosomal RNA", at positions 29 to 507 of the family's 1533-position model. The record is from RNAcentral.
AGUGAACGCUGGCGGUAGGCCUAACACAUGCAAGUCGAACGGCAGCACAGGAGAGCUUGCUCUCUGGGUGGCGAGUGGCGGACGGGUGAGGAAUACAUCGGAAUCUGCCCAGUCGUGGGGGAUAACGUAGGGAAACUUACGCUAAUACCGCAUACGACCUUCGGGUGAAAGAGGGGGAUCGCAAGACCUCUCGCGAUUGGAUGAGCCGAUGUCGGAUUAGCUAGUUAGCGGGGUAAUGGCCCACCAAGGCGACGAUCCGUAGCUGGUCUGAGAGGAUGAUCAGCCACACUGGAACUGAGACACGGUCCAGACUCCUACGGGAGGCAGCAGUGGGGAAUAUUGGACAAUGGGCGCAAGCCUGAUCCAGCCAUACCGCGUGGGUGAAGAAGGCCUUCGGGUUGUAAAGCCCUUUUGUUGGGAAAGAAAUCUUUCAGGCUAAUACCCUGGGAGGAUGACGGUACCCAAAGAAUAAGCACCGGCUAACUUCGUG